RNAcentral lists this ribosomal RNA (400 nucleotides) under uncultured bacterium. Its description in RNAcentral is "bacterial SSU rRNA". It matches the Rfam family "Bacterial small subunit ribosomal RNA", at positions 28 to 419 of the family's 1533-position model. The record is from RNAcentral.
GACGAACGCUGGCGGCGCGCUUAACACAUGCAAGUCGUACGGAGUUUCUCUUUCGGGGGAGGCUCAGUGGCGAACGGGUGCGUAACACGUGAGCAACCUGCCCAAGUGUGGGGGGAUAACCCGUGGAAACGCGGGCUAAUACCGCAUGACGUUUACUUCUCGAUUGAGGGGUGGACGAAAGGCCCCUGCAAGGGGCUGCGCUUGGAGGGGCUCGCGGCGUAUCAGCUAGUUGGUGAGGUAACGGCNCACCAAGGCGACGACGCGUAGCCGAUCUGAGAGGAUGAUCGGCCACAUUGGGACUGAGAUACGGCCCAGACUCCUACGGGAGGCAGCAGUGGGGAAUCUUGCGCAAUGGGCGAAAGCCUGACGCAGCGACGCCGCGUGCGGGAGGAAGCUCUUC